This is a long non-coding RNA of Arabidopsis lyrata subsp. lyrata, 1426 nucleotides long. RefSeq lists it as uncharacterized. The transcript is spliced from 2 exons. The record is from RefSeq and is a predicted model, not a curated record. NCBI's taxonomy places the organism in Eukaryota, Viridiplantae, Streptophyta, Magnoliopsida, Brassicales, Brassicaceae.
UAUAUUUUCUUUGAAGAUUAUGGAUGCAAAAUCUCUUUUUCAAUUAUAGUCGUGGUUUUGUAUAUACACUGAUAAAAAUCGUUUGUCACUAAUCUGUGUGUUGCGGAAAUAGUUGUAUGUGGCAUUUAACCUAGUGGUAAUUAGUAUAAAUUGAGUUAUAACAUAAUAUUAAAUUACAGAGUCAUAUAUUAUGCAUCAACUCAGGUCUAUCAUACUAUAAUGUAGUAGUUCUAGAAGAAAACCUGAUCUAUAAAGUUUGUUACAUAUAUUAGGAGAUAGAGAGAGAAGAGAUGUAUGUAGUAGGCAAAUCACAAAAUCACAAAUGGUAUCUGGUCAGAUUCCUGGUUUAAUACUUUCAUCACUUUGUUUCCUUUUUUCUUUGUUGGAUUCAUAAAUUUGACAUUGGAAAUCUCUGAUUCUCUUUGUCCCAGUUUUGCUACAGAUGCAUGUGUAUGUUUUUGUCCAUUUGAUUGAUAAAGAUCCAGCUAUUUAUUACUUGAUUUUGACCGUUGAUUUUUCAGAUCUGAUAUGUUUUGUUUCCUCCGAUUCGGGAAAUUUUAUGUUUCUUUGCCAUUUUUUUUGGAGUUUAGUUGGAAAAAGAGUGAGAGUCGCUGGAGGCAGCGGUUCAUCGAUCUCUUCCUGGGAACGAAUAUAUAAAUAUUGAAAAAGCAUGAAUAGAUCGAUAAACCUCUGCAUCCAGCGUUUGCCUCUUUAUCUUUGUUAUUGGCUUCAAUUUUUUUGGUUUUUGAAAAAAGUGAGGGAAAACAGAGUCAAGUCAGAUUAUUUUUCUGGCAUACUUGAGGAUUUUGUGUUCUUAAGAGCAGAUAAAGAGGAGACAGUUGUUUCUGGUGAGAAUUCGACCUCUUUAGUUUGUUUAAGUGAAUUGCUUGUUUCUUUGAGUAUGUAGUUGACUGAUAAGCCUUAGCUUGACCUUUAUGUUUAUUAAGUGGAUUUGGCGUUGGACAAAUUGAAAACAAGUUCAGAUUCUUGUAGGUAGGUUCCUUUCUUGGUCUGACCAAACAAUGGUCAGGAUAAAGUGGUGUGUUUUGUUUCAUGUAUCAAAAAGUCUAGAUUCUUGCUUUUCUUCCAACAUGCAAGAUUUCUCUUUAUGCCAUGUGAAAUUCAAUUGCAGUGUUGACAUCUCCUAUUGUGAUAGGCGAUGUAUCAGUGGUGAAGCAAGAAUGAAAUAUGUGGGUACUUGUUCUUGUUCCCUCACCCUGAUUUCUGUGUGUUUGGACUUGAAAAACUAGAAUCAAUUCACUCCAAACGGUGUUAACUCUGCUGCCAUGCGUUGAGCUGCUUUUUGGAUUUUCCAUUGUUUUGUUUUGUGUGGUAAGUUCAUUGUGUAGUUUCUUUUCAACUGUAUGAAACCCACAUUGUUAAUUGUAAACACUUACUUAUAAACGCAAACAUCAAUCUUCAUUCA